Molecule: ribosomal RNA, 406 nt
Filed under: uncultured bacterium
Lineage: Bacteria
Description: partial 16S ribosomal RNA
Rfam family: Bacterial small subunit ribosomal RNA
Source: RNAcentral
AUUGAACGCUGGCGGCAGGCCUAACACAUGCAAGUCGAACGAGUGGCGGACGGGUGUGUAAUGUCUGGGAACCUGCCUGAUGGCGGGGGAUAACUCCUGGAACCGGUAGCUAAUACCGCUUACCUUCCGAUUUUCCCUGAUGGGAUUAGCUAGUAGGUGGGGUAAAGGCUCACCUAGUCGACGAUCCCUAGCUGGUCUGAGAGGAUGACCGGCCACACUGGAACUGAGACACGGGCCAGACUCCUACGGGAGGCAGCAGUGGGGAAUAUUGCACAAGGGGCGAAAGCCUGAUGCAGCCAUGCCGCGUGUAUGAAGAAGGCCGUCGGGUUGUAAAGUACUGUCAGCGGGGAGGCGUUACCCGCAGAAGAAGCACCGGCUAACUCCGUGCCAGCAGCCGCGGUAAUUC